UAAGAGUUGCUUUGGUCGUUGUGUCUCCU
Molecule: non-coding RNA, 29 nt
Filed under: Mus musculus (house mouse)
Lineage: Eukaryota; Metazoa; Chordata; Mammalia; Rodentia; Muridae
Source: RNAcentral